RNAcentral lists this ribosomal RNA (465 nucleotides) under Vreelandella stevensii. RNAcentral describes it as "partial 16S ribosomal RNA". It matches the Rfam family "Bacterial small subunit ribosomal RNA", at positions 338 to 795 of the family's 1533-position model. Lineage: Bacteria; Pseudomonadati; Pseudomonadota; Gammaproteobacteria; Oceanospirillales; Halomonadaceae. The record is from RNAcentral.
CCUACGGGAGGCAGCAGUGGGGAAUAUUGGACAAUGGGGGCAACCCUGAUCCAGCCAUGCCGCGUGUGUGAAGAAGGCCCUCGGGUUUUAAAGCACUUUCAGUGAGGAAGAACGCCUGGUGGUUAAUACCCAUCAGGAAAGACAUCACUCACAGAAGAAGCACCGGCUAACUCCGUGCCAGCAGCCGCGGUAAUACGGAGGGUGCGAGCGUUAAUCGGAAUUACUGGGCGUAAAGCGCGCGUAGGUGGCUUGAUAAGCCGGUUGUGAAAGCCCCGGGCUCAACCUGGGAACGGCCUCCGGAACUGUCAAGCUAGAGUGCAGGAGAGGAAGGUAGAAUUCCCGGUGUAGCGGUGAAAUGCGUAGAGAUCGGGAGGAAUACCAGUGGCGAAGGCGGCCUUCUGGACUGAAACUGACACUGAGGUGCGAAAGCGUGGGUAGCAAACAGGAUUAGAUACCCGAGUAGUC